UACAGAGGGGGCAAGCGUUGUUCGGAAUUACUGGGCGUAAAGGGCGCGUAGGCGGUGUGUCAAGUCAGGCGUGAAAGCCCCGGGCUCAACCUGGGAACAGCGCUUGAGACUGGCACGCUCGAGUUCGGGAGAGGAUGGUGGAAUUCCCAGUGUAGAGGUGAAAUUCGUAGAUAUUGGGAAGAACACCGAUGGCGAAGGCAGCCAUCUGGACCGACACUGACGCUGAGGCGCGAAAGCCAGGGGAGCAAACGGG
This 253-nucleotide ribosomal RNA is filed under the name uncultured bacterium. RNAcentral describes it as "partial 16S ribosomal RNA". It matches the Rfam family "Bacterial small subunit ribosomal RNA", at positions 524 to 776 of the family's 1533-position model. The record is from RNAcentral.